RNAcentral lists this transfer RNA (72 nucleotides) under Geitlerinema sp. FC II. RNAcentral describes it as "tRNA-Trp". It matches the Rfam family "tRNA". From Rfam's summary of the family: Transfer RNA (tRNA) molecules are approximately 80 nucleotides in length. Their secondary structure includes four short double-helical elements and three loops (D, anti-codon, and T loops). Further hydrogen bonds mediate the characteristic L-shaped molecular structure. tRNAs have two regions of fundamental functional importance: the anti-codon, which is responsible for specific mRNA codon recognition, and the 3' end, to which the tRNAs corresponding amino acid is attached (by aminoacyl-tRNA synthetases). tRNAs cope with the degeneracy of the genetic code in two manners: having more than one tRNA (with a specific anti-codon) for a particular amino acid; and 'wobble' base-pairing, i.e. permitting non-standard base-pairing at the 3rd anti-codon position. The record is from RNAcentral. Lineage: Bacteria; Bacillati; Cyanobacteriota; Cyanophyceae; Geitlerinematales; Geitlerinemataceae.
GGGGGGAUGGUGUAACGGCAAACAUCUCGGUCUCCAAAACCGUGGUUCUGGGUUCGAAUCCCAGUCCCCUUG